CGGGGCUGCUGGGCCUGGGACUGGGACGGGCUGCCCCCAACCCCAAGUACCUCUGAGAUAAGAAGUUCCCCUGUGAGAGCGAGACCCUGAAUACCCUGCGGGAGCCCGUGACACUUGGGGCUAGGUGCUAGGGGGACGCCCCCCACCAGGUGGGCCGGCUUUGCAUUGCCCACAAUGCUGGUUGCUCCAGAUCCCUCUAAGCCCACCCUUUAAAUGUGGUUACAAAACUGUGUAGAGCAUGCUUUCCGAAUAACAACAGUGACAAAUCAUCAUAAUACUUAGGGCACCUUGGAGUGAUAUCUCACCCCUGGCUGUGCUAUUACUGGACCAACAACAUCAAAAACUGCCAUUAGGAAUGUUGGAGUCAUUAGGCAGGCACAGAGCCUCAGUGAUAACCCUGGUGGAAGAAAGAAAGAAAGAAAGAGAGAAAACGAAAGAAAAAAAAAGAAAGAAAGAAAUCAGGACUACAUGGUUUAUUGCAGAAGGACCAGAGGCCAUGUUGACAUUUUUCACCAGUAGGUAGAGUGCAGUCAGCUAUCUUGCCCCUAUGUAUCUUUAUUCUUAGCUUUGCUCUGCUAGUCAGCCAUCCAUCCUCACCCCACCCCCUGCCACUGAUUGUUUUCUGUCAGUCACACUGAAAGACCCUUUAAAAAAAAAAAAAGGGACUCCUGAUACUGCCUGCCCACACUCAGUAAGAUUUCAGCUUGACCUAUUUCUGCACACGCUGGUAUCAAUCAUGAUACUCAGAUAGUUUUACCCAUGGCCCUAAGAUUGUCUUCUGUCAGUCAGUUUUCUUUGGUCUGUUUCACUUACUGCUCAUGGGCUCCUGUAAAUGGCCUC
This is a long non-coding RNA of Erinaceus europaeus (western European hedgehog), 840 nucleotides long. RefSeq lists it as uncharacterized. Lineage: Eukaryota; Metazoa; Chordata; Mammalia; Eulipotyphla; Erinaceidae. The transcript has 3 exons. The record is from RefSeq and is a predicted model, not a curated record.